GGUUCAUGGUGUAAUGGUUAGCACUCUGGACUCUGAAUCCAGCGAUCCGAGUUCAAAUCUUGAUGGGACCU
Danio rerio (zebrafish) is the source of this 71-nucleotide non-coding RNA. NCBI's taxonomy places the organism in Eukaryota, Metazoa, Chordata, Actinopteri, Cypriniformes, Danionidae. The record is from Rfam.